RNAcentral lists this non-coding RNA (287 nucleotides) under Otolemur garnettii (small-eared galago). Lineage: Eukaryota; Metazoa; Chordata; Mammalia; Primates; Galagidae. The record is from Rfam by way of RNAcentral.
GCUGGGCAUUGUGGCGGGCACCUGUAGUCCCAGCUACUCAGGAGGCUGAGGCAAGAGAAUUGCUUAAGCCCAGGGGUUGGAGGUUGCUGUGAGCUGUGAUGCCACGGCACUCUACCCAGGUGACAGCUUGAGGCUCUGUCUCAAAAAAGAAAAAAGAAAAACAUCUUGAUGAGUCUUUUUUUUUUUUUUGAGACAGAGUCUCAAGAUGUCACCCUGGGUAGAGUGCUAUGGCAUCAUAGCUCACAGCAACCUCAAACUCUUGGGCUUAAGUGAUUCUCUUGCCUCAG